AUGAUUUGUAAUCGCAUUCGAGAUAGCCAAGGCUGUAUAAACGCCAUUCCCACAACCGGACGUAUCUUCUCCAAGCAACAAUUUUGAGAAUCUUUCUUUCAUUAUCUCAAUCUCUAUCCAAAACCGAUUGUCGUUCAGACGGUUGCGGUUGCAGGGAAAGAAGAUGAAUUAGGGAUAAGGGUUUGGUGCAGAGAGAAGAUGG
This 202-nucleotide long non-coding RNA is filed under the name Helianthus annuus (common sunflower). RNAcentral describes it as "hypothetical non coding rna". The record is from RNAcentral. Lineage: Eukaryota; Viridiplantae; Streptophyta; Magnoliopsida; Asterales; Asteraceae.